AGCAGCCGCGGUAAUUCCAGCUCCAAUAGCGUAUAUUAAAGUUGUUGCAGUUAAAAAGCUCGUAGUUGAAUUUCGGGGUUAGUAGGUUGGUCAUGCCUCCGGUAUGUACUGGUCUCACUGAUUCCUCCUUCCUGACGAACCGUAAUGCCAUUAAUUUGGUGUUGCGGGGAAUUUGGACUGUUACUUUGAAAAAAUUAGAGUGUUUAAAGCAGGCUAACGCUUGAAUACAUUAGCAUGGAAUAAUGAAAUAGGACGUUCGAUCCUAUUUUGUUGGUUUCUAGGAUUGACGUAAUGAUUAAUAGGGAUAGUUGGGGGCAUUAGUAUUCAAUUGUCAGAGGUGAAAUUCUUGGAUUUAUUGAAGACUAACUACUGCGAAAGCAUUUGCCAAGGAUGUUUUCAUUAAUCAAGAACGAAAGUUAGGGGAUCGAAGACGAUCAGAUACCGUCGUAGUCUUAACCAUAAACUAUGCCGACUAGGGAUCGGAUGAUGUUAAUUUUUUAAUGACUCA
This 508-nucleotide ribosomal RNA is filed under the name uncultured Glomus. RNAcentral's name for it is "SSU rRNA". It matches the Rfam family "Eukaryotic small subunit ribosomal RNA", at positions 569 to 1078 of the family's 1831-position model. The record is from RNAcentral. Lineage: Eukaryota; Fungi; Glomeromycota; Glomeromycetes; Glomerales; Glomeraceae.